Molecule: ribosomal RNA, 468 nt
Filed under: uncultured bacterium
Lineage: Bacteria
Description: partial 16S ribosomal RNA
Rfam family: Bacterial small subunit ribosomal RNA
Source: RNAcentral
GACGAACGCUGGCGGCGUGCUUAACACAUGCAAGUCGAACGGAAAGGCCCUGCUUUUGUGUGGUGCUCGAGUGGCGAACGGGUGAGUAACACGUGAGUAACCUGCCCUUGACUUUGUGGGAACUUCAUGAAACUGGGGCUAAUACCGGAUAGGAGCUCCUGCUGCAUGGUGGGGGUUGGAAAGUUUCGGUGGUUGGGGUGUGACUCGCGGCUUGUGAGCUUGUUGGUGGGGUAGUGGCUUACCAAGGCUUUGACGGGUAGCAGGCCUGAGCGGGUGACCGGAUCCGCUGGGCCUGAGCUGCGGCACAGACUACUACGGGAGGGAACAGUGGGGAAGAUUACACUAUGGGCGGAAGCCUGAUGUAGUAACGCAGCGUGCGGGAUGACGGCAUUCGGGUUGUAAACCGCUUUCGCCUGUGACGAAGCGUGAGUGACGGUAACGGGUAAAGAAGCACCGGCUAACUACGUG